UUUGAUCGAUCCCAGCCACAGCGGGCGGUCCGCCGGGCGGUCCUGUCCGUACGUCGCGAGCAGCGCCUGCGCCUC
RNAcentral lists this antisense RNA (75 nucleotides) under Mycobacterium intracellulare 1956. Its description in RNAcentral is "ASpks TB sRNA". It matches the Rfam family "ASpks TB sRNA". The record is from Rfam by way of RNAcentral. Lineage: Bacteria; Bacillati; Actinomycetota; Actinomycetes; Mycobacteriales; Mycobacteriaceae.